Non-coding RNA from Pelobates cultripes (western spadefoot toad), 604 nucleotides. The record is from the annotation of a GenBank genome assembly. NCBI's taxonomy places the organism in Eukaryota, Metazoa, Chordata, Amphibia, Anura, Pelobatidae.
AACAGAUUCCCAGAAUAGUCCUAACAUACUGUAUGACUCAUGCAUUGGCUUACGGUUGAUUUGUGUGGGCGCAGUUUUCUACGCAGAGAUGCCUCUGUAAAUCAGCAAAUAGUAACCUAUAUGAGACAGCUGCCUUCCCCUCCUACCCACCCCUCUGCCACCAUGAAAAGGACAAGUUGGCAUUCUAUUACCACCUGCACUGCUAGAAGCUUUGGCACUGAGAUUGCACUUCACAAUUAACAUUUAUUCCCCAAGCUGUUUCGGUAAUUGUUACUUUUCAUUUAUUUAAAUGCAACAUUUAACUACAAUGCAAGAUUCUUUUUUUUAUUGUAGCAGCACGAAGUAUUUUAUUGACUAAGACUCCAGAUAUACAUCACACAGCAGCAUAUAAAGUGAUAUCUGAAUAGAAAACAAUGAAAAAAAAAAAUGAAAAAAAUAACUAAACCCAAAAGAAAAAAAAAAGAGCUAAACGAAAAAUGAUUGUGAAAUUAUAUAAUGCCAUCAUGUAAUUGUAUCCGCUAUAAACUAGAUUUGACGAUUUGCAAUCGUGCAAUUCUUUCAUUAUUGAUUCAGACAAAGUACCCAACAAAAGCACACAACGAAG